This 74-nucleotide transfer RNA is filed under the name Drosophila erecta. RNAcentral describes it as "tRNA-Asn". It matches the Rfam family "tRNA". From Rfam's summary of the family: Transfer RNA (tRNA) molecules are approximately 80 nucleotides in length. Their secondary structure includes four short double-helical elements and three loops (D, anti-codon, and T loops). Lineage: Eukaryota; Metazoa; Arthropoda; Insecta; Diptera; Drosophilidae. The record is from RNAcentral.
GCCUCCGUGGCGCAAUUGAUUAGCGUGUUCGACUGUUAACCAACAUUUUGGUGGUUCCAGUCCACCCGGGGGCG